This 253-nucleotide ribosomal RNA is filed under the name uncultured bacterium. Its description in RNAcentral is "partial 16S ribosomal RNA". It matches the Rfam family "Bacterial small subunit ribosomal RNA", at positions 524 to 776 of the family's 1533-position model. The record is from RNAcentral.
GACGAAGGGGGCUAGCGUUGUUCGGAAUUACUGGGCGUAAAGCGCACGCAGGCGGUCUGCUAAGUUUGGAGUGACAGUUGGUGGCUUAACUGCCAAAGUGCUUCGAAAACUGACAGACUUGAGGGCUUCAGAGGGACACGGAAUUCCGGGUGGAGUGGUGAAAUGCGUAGAGAUCCGGAGGAACACCAAAGGCGAAGGCAGUGUCCUGGGGAGUACCUGACGCUCAGGUGCGAAAGCCAGGGGAGCGAACGGG